Molecule: ribosomal RNA, 307 nt
Filed under: uncultured bacterium
Lineage: Bacteria
Description: partial 16S ribosomal RNA
Rfam family: Bacterial small subunit ribosomal RNA
Source: RNAcentral
CAAUGGACGGUACAGAGAGUCGCGAGACCGCGAGGUGGAGCUAAUCUCAAAAAGCCGUUCUCAGUUCGGAUUGCACUCUGCGACUCGAGUGCAUGAAGUUGGAAUCGCUAGUAAUCGCGGAUCAGCACGCCGCGGUGAAUACGUUCCCGGGCCUUGUACACACCGCCCGUCACAUCACGAAAGUCGGUUGCACUAGAAGUCGGUGGGCUAACCCGCAAGGGAGGCAGCCGCCUAAAGUGUGAUCGGUAAUUGGGGUGAAGUCGUAACAAGGUAGCUGUAGGAGAACGUGCGGCUGGAUCACCUCCUU